AAUACGGAAGGUCCAAGCGUUAAUCGGAAUUACUGGGCGUAAAGCGCGCGUAGGUGGUUUAUUAAGUUGGGUGUGAAAGCCCCGGGCUCAACCUGGGAACUGCAUCCAAAACUGAUUCACUAGAGUACGAAAGAGGAAAGUAGAAUUCACAGUGUAGCGGUGGAAUGCGUAGAUAUUGUGAAGAAUACCGAUGGCGAAGGCAGCUUUCUGGUUCUGUACUGACACUGAGGUGCGAGAGCGUGGGUAGCGAACAGGAUUAGAUACCCUGGUAGUCCACGCCGUAAACGAUGACAACUAGCUGUUGGAAAGCUAUGCUUUUCAGUGGCGCAGCUAACGUCUUAAGUUGUCCGCCUGGGGAGUACGGCCGCAAGGUUAAAACUCAAAUGAAUUGACGGGGACCCGCACAAGCGGUGGAGCAUGUGGUUUAAUUCGAUGCAACGCGAAAAACCUUACCUACACUUGACAUACUUGGAAUCUUUUGUAAUGAAAGAGUGCCUUUUGGAGCCAAGAUACAGGUGCUGCAUGGCUGUCGUCAGCUCGUGUCGUGAGAUGUUGGGUUAAGUCCCAUAACGAGCGCAACCCUUACCCUUAUUUGCCAGCGAUUCGGUUGGGAACUAUAAGGGGACUGCCGGUGAUAAACCGGAGGAAGGUGAGGACGACGUCAAGUCAUCAUGGCCCUUACGUGUAGGGCUACACACGUGCUACAAUGGGGAGUACAGAUAGACGCUAAAGCGCGAGCUGGUGCUAAUCUCAUAAAACUCUUCGUAGUCCGGAUUGCAGUCUGCAACUCGACUGCAUGAAGUCGGAAUCGCUAGUAAUCGCGAAUCAGCAUGUCGCGGUGAAUACGUUCUCGGGUCUUGUACACACCGCCCGUCACACCAUGGGAGUGUAUUGCACCAGAAGUGGGUAGUCUAACCUUCGGGAGGGCGCUCACCACGGUGUGGUCCAU
Molecule: ribosomal RNA, 949 nt
Filed under: uncultured bacterium
Lineage: Bacteria
Description: bacterial SSU rRNA
Rfam family: Bacterial small subunit ribosomal RNA
Source: RNAcentral